UGGGGAAUAUUGCACAAUGGGCGCAAGCCUGAUGCAGCCAUGCCGCGUGUAUGAAGAAGGCCUUCGGGUUGUAAAGUACUUUCAGCGGGGAGGAAGGGAGUAAAGUUAAUACCUUUGCUCAUUGACGUUACCCGCAGAAGAAGCACCGGCUAACUCCGUGCCAGCAGCCGCGGUAAUACGGAGGGUGCAAGCGUUAAUCGGAAUUACUGGGCGUAAAGCGCACGCAGGCGGUUUGUUAAGUCAGAUGUGAAAUCCCCGGGCUCAACCUGGGAACUGCAUCUGAUACUGGCAAGCUUGAGGCUCGUAGAGGGGGGUAGAAUUCCAGGUGGAGCGGUGAAAUGCGUAGAGAUCUGGAGGAAUACCGGUGGCGAAGGCGGCCCCCUGGACGAAGACUGACGCUCAGGUGCGAAAGCGUGGGGAGCAAACAGG
This 429-nucleotide ribosomal RNA is filed under the name Chloroflexota bacterium. RNAcentral's name for it is "Chloroflexi bacterium partial 16S ribosomal RNA". It matches the Rfam family "Bacterial small subunit ribosomal RNA", at positions 355 to 776 of the family's 1533-position model. The record is from RNAcentral. Lineage: Bacteria; Bacillati; Chloroflexota.